This 818-nucleotide long non-coding RNA is filed under the name Cairina moschata (Muscovy duck). RNAcentral describes it as "domestica (muscovy Duck (domestic type)) lncRNA (ENSCMMG00000008407.1)". Lineage: Eukaryota; Metazoa; Chordata; Aves; Anseriformes; Anatidae. The record is from RNAcentral.
AAACACGGUGCUUCAGUGGCACAGAAAUGCAAGAGGUGGCGGCCUGGCCAUUGUUUAGGAACCGGGCCAUACGGACAGGUGGAUCUACCCUGCGGAUUGCCGUAAUAGGGUUAUACUGCACUUCUCUUGAUGCUCCUGCCUUUUCCCUCCUCGACUUUGUCUUGUUGUCUCUUAGUGCACUACAGUACGAUCAAUCAGGCAAUUUCAACGCAGGAUUUUUAUUCGGUUAACUGUGAGUCACUUUCAUCCACUUUCCCCAGCCCCACCCCUUGAAAGAAUUAGGGAUUUUCUAUUUAUUUAUUAAUCUAGUGAAUACAGUUAUCCCAUUAGUAUAUCCUUUUAAAGUCCCUGGUAAUACCUAAGAAAAACUAAUAGAGGUGCUUUGCUUUUUUUUUUUUUUCAGUGAAUUAAUGUUAGUGACGUUCUGCAGACCUGUGAGUGGUCAUUUACGGCACCGCGGCUGCUGGCAGGCAUCGCACGCAGCACUGAAGUUCUGCGGCAGCUUCCCUCGCUCUAGAAUAGCUGUGCACGAGCACAGACCUCACCAGGUGCACCCCAAUCAGCAGGGGCAGCCACUGAUGGCCAAGCUCGGCGGCGUGAGCAUCGUGGUGAGGACCAGCAGGGUCAGGAGCCUCCCGGACCGGUGUCCCCUGCAGGUGGCAAGUGGCCCAAACAGAAGAUGUGACCCAGGUCCGGAUGGAGGAGGGCGAAGGUUAACAGUCGGCUGGGUAGGGAGCUGUGCCCCCCUCCUGCCAGAGACCGGAGACCAGCACAGGCCUCGGCUAACUGAACAAAGACGGAGGGUCUGGCAAGGCUGA